RNAcentral lists this ribosomal RNA (253 nucleotides) under uncultured bacterium. RNAcentral's name for it is "partial 16S ribosomal RNA". It matches the Rfam family "Bacterial small subunit ribosomal RNA", at positions 524 to 776 of the family's 1533-position model. The record is from RNAcentral.
UACGUAGGGUGCGAGCGUUAAUCGGAAUUACUGGGCGUAAAGCGUGCGCAGGCGGUUCGUUAAGUUCGAUGUGAAAGCCCCGGGCUCAACCUGGGAACUGCAUUGGAAACUGGCGAGCUUGAAUGCGGCAGAGGGGGGUGGAAUUCCGCGUGUAGCAGUGAAAUGCGUAGAGAUGCGGAGGAACACCGACGGCGAAGGCAGCCCCCUGGGCCGACAUUGACGCUCAGGCACGAAAGCGUGGGGAGCAAACAGG